This 240-nucleotide unclassified non-coding RNA is filed under the name soil metagenome. RNAcentral describes it as "partial contains 5.8S ribosomal RNA, internal transcribed spacer 2, and large subunit ribosomal RNA". The record is from RNAcentral.
AACGCACGAGACCUGCGGACCUGCGGAGGGAUCAUUAUCGAGUUUUUAAUCGGGUUGUAGCUGGCCUUACGAGGCAUGUGCACGCCCCGUUAAUCCUCCACUCUACACCUGUGCACUUAUUGUGGGUUUCGGAUGGGGUGGAGCGGGUCUUUACUGGCUCGUGAAGCGCGUCUGUGCCUAUGUUUACUACAAACUCAAAAAGUAUUAGAAUGUGUAUUGCGAUGUGUAACGCAUCUUUAU